GGCUGGAUGGCGCAAUUGGCAGCGCGCACGAUUCCAAAUCGUGCGGUUGUGGGUUCGAGUCCCUCUCCACGGUCA
This 75-nucleotide transfer RNA is filed under the name Tribonema minus. RNAcentral's name for it is "tRNA-Trp". The stretch from base 4 to 69 matches the Rfam family "tRNA". Rfam says of the family: Transfer RNA (tRNA) molecules are approximately 80 nucleotides in length. Their secondary structure includes four short double-helical elements and three loops (D, anti-codon, and T loops). Lineage: Eukaryota; Xanthophyceae; Tribonematales; Tribonemataceae. The record is from RNAcentral.